UACGGGGGGGGCAAGCGUUGUUCGGAAUUACUGGGCGUAAAGGGCUCGUAGGCGGCCAACUAAGUCGGAUGUGAAAUCCCCAGGCUCAACCUGGGAACUGCAUCCGAUACUGGAUGGCUUGAAUUCGGGAGAGGGAUGCAGAAUUCCAGGUGUAGCGGUGAAAUGCGUAGAUAUCUGGAGGAAUACCGGUGGCGAAGGCGGCAUCCUGGACCGGUAUUGACGCUGAGGCGCGAAAGCCAGGGGAGCAAACGGG
This 253-nucleotide ribosomal RNA is filed under the name uncultured bacterium. RNAcentral's name for it is "partial 16S ribosomal RNA". It matches the Rfam family "Bacterial small subunit ribosomal RNA", at positions 524 to 776 of the family's 1533-position model. The record is from RNAcentral.